CACAUUUAGCAUCAACUAUUGUUUGGACCGUCAAUUCGAAUCAGCUAACUUCAACAACUCACAUUUCAAAUAAAAUCCUAAGGGAACAAAUGUUUACAAAAAAAUUUUAGUGUGAACAGAAUUUUAGCGAUUUAGACGUCAAAAUGAUGAGCUUAAAUUUUCAGGUCACAUAGAUUAAAUUACUUUUAAUUUUAAAAGAAUUUUCAGUACCUGGUGUUUGGUGGUUUGAGUUUUACAGCCAAUACUUAUUAAAGAACUAUUUGUUGUUGUUCUUAUUAUCAACAUGGACAAGGACUAGAAAUUGUAUAUGCAGCAUUCAAUGCAAAUAGCUUGCUGACACACAACUAAUGCUAUGGAACUCACAGCAAACUAAUGCUGUGAUGUAAUUUUAGUGGCCGUUUUAUCAUUGUUUCUCGCUGCUCACUACACACCCAGAAUUAAUGCACGUCUGCAUCUUGAACCCUCCAUCCUACUCAAUACAAAAAAUAAAAAUAAAAACUUGAUAAACCUAAGUAUAUUUUUCUGUUCUUCAGCAAAAUUGUUAUCUAUCUUAAACUCUGGACCUUUUUUUUAGACUCUCAGAUGACCUCUAGAUAGUAUAAAACUGAGAGCACAUUUUUUUCAUUCCUUUAUUUCCUCAUACUGUCUUAGUGCUCUGUUUUGCUUUGGAGCUCAGAGAUGUAAUAAAUCUGUUAGAGAACCUUGGCUUUAAUCACUCAUUCAUAUAUAAUACUUGCCUUCCAGAGGAUCUUAUAUCUAAAAUGUUCAGCUGAAAUGUGGGACUUGUUUCUUACCUUUGCAGAGUUUUAUCCAGGGAAGAUACGGAUUCUCAGGAGCUUCAAAAAAGGUGGGAAUUGGGAGUUCCCAUCAUGGCUCAGUGGUUAACGAAUCCGAGGGAUCAAACCCAUGUGCUCAUGGAUACUAGUCAGAUUUGUUACCGCCGAGCUACGACAGGAACUCCCUAUGUUUAAUCCUUCUUGUGGAGCCAUGACUUAAGUAGACAGGAAAGGAGGGAGGAAGGAAGGGAGGGAGGAAGGAGGGAAGGAGGGAAGGAGAGACAAAAACAACUGAAAAAAGAGGGUCAGACCUAGAAAUAAAAAGAGAAAAAUAUUGGUCAAUUCAUGAAUGACCGAAGAGAAGGAAUCUCUUCUUUGCCUGUUGUAUUUACAGCAGAAAAUCUGUUUCUCAUACGUUGCACCAGAUCUCAAAUCCAGAAAUAUUUAUGGCGGACACUUAGUAAUGUGCCCUCAGAGAGUAAUUGGGGUAACACGGUGUGUUUCCAAAUGGGGCCACCACCUUGCUGCAGGUCCCCUCUCUGUACCCAGCUAGUGGCAGAUUGCUGAAGUUAAUGUCAAUGUGUAGAUAGGUUUAGGAAGGAGCCACAAGUCAUCAUAGACUGUAAUCGCAGAAGUUCUCUUUGGGUGGUACAGCAGGAAAAAGCAGGACGUCAAAAUCAGACUAACAUGAGUUGAAUACCUUGGACACAUUACUUAGACUUGGAGCUACAGUUUUCCAGAGAGUAAACUAGAAGCCUCAAGACAUACUAAAUUAAAAAAUAAAUGAGGAGUUCCCGACGUGGCGCAGUGGUUAACGAAUCCGACUAGGAACCAUGAGGUUGCGGGUUCGGUCCCUGCCCUUGCUCGGUGGGUUAAUGAUCCGGCGUUGCUGUGAGCUGUGGUGUAGAUUGCAGACACGGCUCGGAUCCCACGUUGCUGUGGCUGUGGUGUAGGCCGGGGGCUACAGCUCCGAUUGGACCCCUAGCCUGGGAACCUCCAUAUGCCGCGGGAGCGGCCCAAGAAAUAGCAAAAAAAAAAAAAAAAAAAAA
RNAcentral lists this long non-coding RNA (1825 nucleotides) under Sus scrofa (pig). RNAcentral describes it as "lncRNA (ENSSSCG00035076703.1)". The record is from RNAcentral. Lineage: Eukaryota; Metazoa; Chordata; Mammalia; Artiodactyla; Suidae.